UAGGGAAUCUUCCACAAUGGACGCAAGUCUGAUGGAGCAACGCCGCGUGAGUGAAGAAGGUCUUCGGAUCGUAAAGCUCUGUUGUUGGUGAAGAAGGAUAGAGGCAGUAACUGGUCUUUAUUUGACGGUAAUCAACCAGAAAGUCACGGCUAACUACGUGCCAGCAGCCGCGGUAAUACGUAGGUGGCAAGCGUUGUCCGGAUUUAUUGGGCGUAAAGCGAGCGCAGGCGGAAUGAUAAGUCUGAUGUGAAAGCCCACGGCUCAACCGUGGAACUGCAUCGGAAACUGUCAUUCUUGAGUGCAGAAGAGGAGAGUGGAACUCCAUGUGUAGCGGUGGAAUGCGUAGAUAUAUGGAAGAACACCAGUGGCGAAGGCGGCUCUCUGGUCUGCAACUGACGCUGAGGCUCGAAAGCAUGGGUAGCGAACAGGAUUAGAUACCCUGGUAGUCCAUGCCGUAAACGAUGAGCGCUAGGUGUUGGGGACUUUCCGGUCCUCAGUGCCGCAGCAAACGCUUAAGCGCUCCGCCUGGGGAGUACGACCGCAAGGUUGAAAC
This 553-nucleotide ribosomal RNA is filed under the name uncultured bacterium. RNAcentral describes it as "partial 16S ribosomal RNA". It matches the Rfam family "Bacterial small subunit ribosomal RNA", at positions 355 to 900 of the family's 1533-position model. The record is from RNAcentral.